UCUGGGAGAGGGGUACCAUUCCCAGGAUUCCCAGGUGUUCCCAUUCAGUGCUGAGGAUAGAAUACAUACAGCACACUAUGGAGUUUGUGCUUAGCUGGGUUUUCUUUGUUGCUAUUUUAAAAGGUGUCCAGUGUGAGGUGAAGCUGGUGGAGUCUGGGGGAGACCUGGUGCAGCCUGGGGGGUCCCUGAGACUCUCCUGUGCAGCCUCUGGAUUCACCUUUAGUAGCUAUGACAUGAGCUGGGUCCGCCAGGCUCCAGGGAAGGGGCUGCAGUGGGUCGCAGAUAUUAGCAGUAGUGGUAGCACAUACUACGCAGACUCCAUGAAGGGCCGAUUCACCAUCUCCAGAGAAGAUGCCAAGAACAUGCUGUAUCUGCAGAUGAACAGCCUGGGAGCUGAGGACACAGCCAUCUAUUUUUGUGUGAGUGACACAGUGAGGCAACAUCAGUGUGAGCCCAGACACAAACCUCACUGUAGAAGGGGAUCUUGACCACCAGGGGUGCAU
This is a non-coding RNA of Ailuropoda melanoleuca (giant panda), 503 nucleotides long. Lineage: Eukaryota; Metazoa; Chordata; Mammalia; Carnivora; Ursidae. The record is from the annotation of a RefSeq genome assembly.